UACGGAGGAUGCAAGCGUUAUCCGGAAUGAUUGGGCGUAAAGGGUCCGCAGGUGGCAGUGUAAGUCUGCUGUCAAAGAAUGAGGCUUAACCUCAUCAAGGCAGUGGAAACUACACAGCUAGAGUACGGUCGGGGUAGAAGGAAUUCCUGGUGUAGCGGUGAAAUGCGUAGAGAUCAGGAAGAACACCGGUGGCGAAAGCGUUCUGCUAGGCCUGUACUGACACUGAGGGACGAAAGCUAGGGGAGCGAAUGGG
This 253-nucleotide ribosomal RNA is filed under the name uncultured bacterium. RNAcentral's name for it is "partial 16S ribosomal RNA". It matches the Rfam family "Bacterial small subunit ribosomal RNA", at positions 524 to 776 of the family's 1533-position model. The record is from RNAcentral.